Macaca fascicularis (crab-eating macaque) is the source of this 148-nucleotide unclassified non-coding RNA. It matches the Rfam family "Metazoan signal recognition particle RNA". From Rfam's summary of the family: The signal recognition particle (SRP) is a universally conserved ribonucleoprotein. It is involved in the co-translational targeting of proteins to membranes. NCBI's taxonomy places the organism in Eukaryota, Metazoa, Chordata, Mammalia, Primates, Cercopithecidae. The record is from Ensembl.
GCUGGGCAUGGUGGUGUGUGCCUGUAGUCCCAGCUACUCAGGAGGUGGAGGCAGGGGGAUUGCUUGAGACCAGGAGUUCAAGGCUGCAGUGAGUUAUGAUCAUGCCACUGCCCUCCAGCCUGGGUGACAGAGCAAGACCUUGUCUCAA